RNAcentral lists this ribosomal RNA (253 nucleotides) under uncultured bacterium. RNAcentral describes it as "partial 16S ribosomal RNA". It matches the Rfam family "Bacterial small subunit ribosomal RNA", at positions 524 to 776 of the family's 1533-position model. The record is from RNAcentral.
GACGAACCGAGCGAACGUUGUUCGGAAUCACUGGGCUUAAAGGGCGCGUAGGCGGCUUACCAAGUAAGGGGUGAAAUUUUGCGGCUUAACCGUAACAGUGCCUUUGAUACUGGUAGGCUCGAGGGAGGUAGGGGUCCGCUGAACUUCUGGUGGAGCGGUGAAAUGCGUUGAUAUCAGAAGGAACGCCGGUGGCGAAAGCGGCGGACUGGAUCUCUUCUGACGCUGAGGCGCGAUAGCUUGGGUAGCAAACGGG